Long non-coding RNA from Cyprinodon tularosa, 254 nucleotides. RefSeq lists it as uncharacterized. The transcript has 3 exons. The record is from RefSeq and is a predicted model, not a curated record. Lineage: Eukaryota; Metazoa; Chordata; Actinopteri; Cyprinodontiformes; Cyprinodontidae.
GGGAGAGCUGGAGACAAAGGAGCUACAGAUCCGAGAAAUCCAGUGAGUUUGGAGCCUUGGAGCUGCCAUACUCUCAUUAUUAUUGGAAUUGGCCAGGUGAUCCCUUUUUAGGGAAAAAGAUGGCGAGCUUCUGAAAACUGGCUGGAGCCAGGAGAGCCUUAAGAAUCACUCCACAGUGGACUGGUCUGUAUCAUUUCCCCCCUCCAUCUCACCACUCAGGCAUACACUCCAUUAUUCACCUCUUCAUCUGAAAC